CGUAGCUCAAUUGGUAGAGCAUCCGGCUGUUAACCGGAGGGUUGGCGGUUCGAGUCCGUCCGU
RNAcentral lists this transfer RNA (63 nucleotides) under Flavonifractor plautii. It matches the Rfam family "tRNA", at positions 6 to 65 of the family's 71-position model. From Rfam's summary of the family: Transfer RNA (tRNA) molecules are approximately 80 nucleotides in length. Their secondary structure includes four short double-helical elements and three loops (D, anti-codon, and T loops). Lineage: Bacteria; Bacillati; Bacillota; Clostridia; Eubacteriales; Oscillospiraceae. The record is from RNAcentral.